RNAcentral lists this ribosomal RNA (908 nucleotides) under Aspergillus luchuensis. RNAcentral describes it as "LSU rRNA". It matches the Rfam family "Eukaryotic large subunit ribosomal RNA", at positions 38 to 961 of the family's 3401-position model. The record is from RNAcentral. Lineage: Eukaryota; Fungi; Ascomycota; Eurotiomycetes; Eurotiales; Aspergillaceae.
GCAUAUCAAUAAGCGGAGGAAAAGAAACCAACCGGGAUUGCCUCAGUAACGGCGAGUGAAGCGGCAAGAGCUCAAAUUUGAAAGCUGGCUCCUUCGGAGUCCGCAUUGUAAUUUGCAGAGGAUGCUUUGGGUGCGGCCCCCGUCUAAGUGCCCUGGAACGGGCCGUCAGAGAGGGUGAGAAUCCCGUCUUGGGCGGGGUGUCCGUGCCCGUGUAAAGCUCCUUCGACGAGUCGAGUUGUUUGGGAAUGCAGCUCUAAAUGGGUGGUAAAUUUCAUCUAAAGCUAAAUACUGGCCGGAGACCGAUAGCGCACAAGUAGAGUGAUCGAAAGAUGAAAAGCACUUUGAAAAGAGAGUUAAACAGCACGUGAAAUUGUUGAAAGGGAAGCGCUUGCGACCAGACUCGCCCGCGGGGUUCAGCCGGCAUUCGUGCCGGUGUACUUCCCCGUGGGCGGGCCAGCGUCGGUUUGGGCGGCCGGUCAAAGGCCCCUGGAAUGUAGUACCCUCCGGGGUACCUUAUAGCCAGGGGUGCAAUGCGGCCAGCCUGGACCGAGGAACGCGCUUCGGCACGGACGCUGGCAUAAUGGUCGUAAACGACCCGUCUUGAAACACGGACCAAGGAGUCUAACAUCUACGCGAGUGUUCGGGUGUCAAACCCGUGCGCGCAGUGAAAGCGAACGGAGGUGGGAGCCCCCUCGCGGGGCGCACCAUCGACCGAUCCUGAUGUCUUCGGAUGGAUUUGAGUAAGAGCGUAAAUGUGGGGACCCGAAAGAUGGUGAACUAUGCCUGAAUAGGGCGAAGCCAGAGGAAACUCUGGUGGAGGCUCGCAGCGGUUCUGACGUGCAAAUCGAUCGUCAAAUUUGGGUAUAGGGGCGAAAGACUAAUCGAACCAUCUAGUAGCUGGUUCCUGC